UUCCUGUAUCAGCCCUGCAGAAGCCUGGGGGUGAAUCCUGCAGGAUCCAGCUUGGCAGUACUGGGGUCAGGUGCACUGGGAAGGGUUCUCCUCGGCAGCGUCUGGGCGGUGCUCGCUGGGCCCCCAGGUCACAAGGUCCAGAGCAGAGGCUGUGGAAGCCUUCCCAAGGGAGCAUCUCCGGCUCAGCCCAGCCACGCCGGGUCCCUCAUCUCUGCUCCGCAGCUAACACGUUCCCUUCCGCGAUGCUCUGCAGCUGCAGCCGCUGACUCGCAAGAGUUCGGCUGCCUCGGCGGCCCCCGUAGCCACCCCCAGGCGCGGUUCGUGCAGUGAACAGGACCCCUGGCAAAGCCUCCUCCCCAAAUAAGUUGAUUUUGGCUUCCACUUCGAUGGCUUUGGCCAAGCUGGCUGCGUAGCUGUCCAAGGACUUGUGCACCUCAGCUUUCACGUGGAGAAUGGAGUUCCUGGCAGCUUCUGGGGAGAGGCAGAAAGAGCAUAAAAUGCACAGCUAUAAGCUUUCGUGUCCACACAUCGGCUCUUUCCUCUCCAGAACCUCGGGGUUGGAGAUGACAUUAAAACCUGUCCCUACCUAGGACCCCGGACACCCAGAAUGAAAAGGAGCAUUUCAGAGGCUUUCCCUGACUUCCAACCUCAUAACAACAGCUCAGUGUGGCAGGAGGAUCUAGAACUGAGCCCCCUGUGUGACAGAGCAGAGCAGGAGGCACAGAAACGCCGAGGAGCUGAGGGGCAGGACUGAAAGCCCCUGCACACCCUUGGCGAGCACAGCGACACAGGGCUCCCAACCCCCAGAGAUGGCAGAGAGACUGACCCAGGGGCCCUGGCCAUGAAGACACCAGGCAUGGUUGAGGGCAGAGGUGACGUGAUACCAACAGGAAGGCAUGAAAGCUGCAUGUUUAACCCUCGGGAGGCUGUGGCUGACCUGAGAUGCGAGGCGACUCUUUUCUCCAACACUAGGGCACCCUCCAGGCGCACGGGUUCAAGGCGUAGCUGAGCAUUGGUGUGUGGCUCACAUGACUCAUGUUAAGCUGUAACUUUUAAGCCACCAUGUUUGGAAGGCUGUGUGAUAUUCAGUAGGAUAUUACACAUAAGAUACUGCAAAUCUGGUAAAUAGUAUUUCUUUAACAACUUCUGGAUUGUAACAAAAUAAGUUAAAAUACGUAUUACUACAUAAUAAAUGCAAAUCUGUAGGU
Cavia porcellus (domestic guinea pig) is the source of this 1208-nucleotide long non-coding RNA. RefSeq lists it as uncharacterized. The record is from RefSeq and is a predicted model, not a curated record. The transcript is spliced from 5 exons. Lineage: Eukaryota; Metazoa; Chordata; Mammalia; Rodentia; Caviidae.